AUCUUUGCUGCAUGACAGAGGUACCAAAGGAGCAAUCCGCUGAAAGAUGGGCUCGCGUCCGAUUAGAUAGUUGGUGGGGUAACGGCCUACCAAGUCGACGAUCGGUAGCCGGACUGAGAGGUUGAACGGCCACAUUGGGACUGAGACACGGCCCAGACUCCUACGGGAGGCAGCAGUGGGGAAUAUUGCACAAUGGGCGAAAGCCUGAUGCAGCAACGCCGCGUGAGGGAAGACGGUUUUCGGAUUGUAAACCUUUGUCCUUGGUGAAGAUAGUGACGGUAGCCGAGGAGGAAGCCACGGCUAACUACGUGCCAGCAGCCGCGGUAAUACGUAGGUGGCAAGCGUUGUCCGGAAUUACUGGGUGUAAAGGGAGCGCAGGCGGGAGAGCAAGUCAGUGGUGAAAUGCAUGGGCUUAACCCAUGAACUGCCAUUGAAACUGUUUUUCUUGAGUGGAUCAGAGGCAAGCGGAAUUCCGAGUGUAGCGGUGAAAUGCGUAGAUAUUCGGAGGAACACCAGUGGCGAAGGCGGCUUGCUGGGGUCUAACUGACGCUGAGGCUCGAAAGUGUGGGGAGCAAACAGG
RNAcentral lists this ribosomal RNA (580 nucleotides) under uncultured rumen bacterium. Its description in RNAcentral is "bacterial SSU rRNA". It matches the Rfam family "Bacterial small subunit ribosomal RNA", at positions 179 to 776 of the family's 1533-position model. The record is from RNAcentral.